RNAcentral lists this ribosomal RNA (406 nucleotides) under uncultured bacterium. Its description in RNAcentral is "partial 16S ribosomal RNA". It matches the Rfam family "Bacterial small subunit ribosomal RNA", at positions 30 to 526 of the family's 1533-position model. The record is from RNAcentral.
AUUGAACGCUGGCGGCAGGCCUAACACAUGCAAGUCGAGCGAGCGGCGGACGGGUGAGUAAUGUAUGGGGAUCUGCCCGAUAGAGGGGGAUAACUACUGAAAACGUUGGCUAAUACCGCCUACUCUCGGAUGACCCCAUUUGGGAUUUGCUAGUAGGGGGGGUAAAGGCUCACCUAGGCGACGAUCUCUAGCUGGUGUGAGAGGAUGAUCAGCCACACUGGGACUGAGACACGGCCCAGACUCCUACGGGAGGCAGCAGUGGGGAAUAUUGCACAAUGGGCGCAAGCCUGAUGCAGCCAUGCCGCGUGUAUGAAGAAGGCCUUAGGGUUGUAAAGUACUUUCAGCGGGGAGGCGUUACCCGCAGAAGAAGCACCGGCUAACUCCGUGCCAGCAGCCGCGGUAAUAC